Molecule: non-coding RNA, 939 nt
Filed under: Caenorhabditis japonica
Lineage: Eukaryota; Metazoa; Nematoda; Chromadorea; Rhabditida; Rhabditidae
Description: Eukaryotic large subunit ribosomal RNA
Rfam family: Eukaryotic large subunit ribosomal RNA
Source: Rfam by way of RNAcentral
CAACCUGAACUCAGUCGUGAUUACCCGCUGAACUUAAGCAUAUCAUUUAGCGGAGGAAAAGAAACUAAAAAGGAUUCCCCUAGUAACGGCGAGUGAAACGGGAAGAGCCCAGCGCCGAAUCGAUCAGUCUUUGGCUGCUUCGAAAUGUGGCGUAUAGGUGUAGUCUUCCAGCAGUGUCGUAUGUCCGAAGUCCUUGCGAUUGAGGCCAUAAACCAGAGAGGGUGCGAGCCCCGUUCUGGAUAGCGGCGCUGUUGGUUCGACUGCUCCUUGGAGUCGGGUUGCUUGAAAGUGCAGCCUAAAGUGGGUGAUAAACUUCAUCUAAGGCUAAAUAUUGACUCGAUUGCGAUAGCGAACAAGUACCGUGAGGGAAAGUUGCAAAGGACUUUGAAGAGAGAGUUACAAGAGAACGUGAAAUCGCUGGAGUGGAACCGGAGACAGUUGAUGUUGCUUGGAGACAAUCUUGGUGGCUGAUCGCUUAGCUGUGAUCGCCGCCGGGAGUCGUUUCCUAUGCUACGCCGACGGCGUUGGCCGCUCGUUCUGGCCCGACAGUGUUGCCCAUCUCGCAAGAGACGGUGUCUUGUUGUCGGUCGUUGGUUCGUGGUGGCUAGCGUUUAGUUACGCUAGUGUGUGUGACGUCGGUGUGAAAGUCGACGACGUUUCCGACCCGUCUUGAAACACGGAUUACGGAGUGUUUGUCUGCUGCGAGUCAAAGGGUGUAAAAACCUUGCGGCGCAAUGAAAGUGAAGGUUAGUCUCGAACUGACCGACGUGGGAUCCGUGCUCUUCGGAGUGCGGCGCACCACGGCCCUAUGCGUGUCACUUGUGACUGUGUAGAGGUUGAGCAGUAGGCAAGCGACCCGAAAGAUGGUGAACUAUGCCUGAGCAGGAUGAAACCAGAGGAAACUCUGGUGGAAGUCCGUAUCGGUUCUGACGUGCAAAA